This 497-nucleotide ribosomal RNA is filed under the name uncultured bacterium. Its description in RNAcentral is "partial 16S ribosomal RNA". It matches the Rfam family "Bacterial small subunit ribosomal RNA", at positions 28 to 507 of the family's 1533-position model. The record is from RNAcentral.
GAUGAACGCUGGCGGCGUGCCUAAUACAUGCAAGUCGAGCGAACGGACGAGAAGCUUGCUUUUCUGAUGUUAGCGGCGGACGGGUGAGUAACACGUGGAUAACCUACCUAUAAGACUGGGAUAACUUCGGGAAACCGGAGCUAAUACCGGAUAAUAUUUUGAACCGCAUGGUUCAAAAGUGAAAGACGGUCUUGCUGUCACUUAUAGAUGGAUCCGCGCUGCAUUAGCUAGUUGGUAAGGUAACGGCUUACCAAGGCAACGAUGCGUAGCCGACCUGAGAGGAUGAUCGGCCACACUGGAACUGAGACACGGUCCAGACUCCUACGGGAGGCAGCAGUAGGGAAUCUUCCGCAAUGGGCGAAAGCCUGACGGAGCAACGCCGCGUGAGUGAUGAAGGUCUUCGGAUCGUAAAACUCUGUUAUUAGGGAAGAACAUAUGUGUAAGUAACUGUGCACAUCUUGACGGUACCUAAUCAGAAAGCAACGGCUAACUACGUG